RNAcentral lists this ribosomal RNA (422 nucleotides) under uncultured bacterium. RNAcentral describes it as "bacterial SSU rRNA". It matches the Rfam family "Bacterial small subunit ribosomal RNA", at positions 354 to 774 of the family's 1533-position model. The record is from RNAcentral.
GUAAGGAAUAUUGGUCAAUGGACGCAAGUCUGAACCAGCCAUGCCGCGUGAAGGAUGAAGGUCCUCUGGAUUGUAAACUUCUUUUAUCUGGGACGAAAACGGGAUUUUUAUCUCAAUUGACGGUACCAGAGGAAUAAGCACCGGCUAACUCCGUGCCAGCAGCCGCGGUAAUACGGAGGGUGCGAGCGCUAUCCGGAUUUACUGGGUUUAAAGGGUGCGUAGGUGGGCUUAUAAGUCAGUGGUGAAAUCUCCGAGCUUAACUUGGAAACUGCCGUUGAUACUAUAGGUCUUGAAUUAUCUGGAGGUAAGCCGAAUAUGUCAUGUCGCGGUGAAAUGCUUAGAUAUGACAUAUAACACCAAUUGCGAAGGCAGCUUACUACAUAUAAAUUGACGCUGAGGCACGAAAGCGUGGGGAUCAAACA